RNAcentral lists this ribosomal RNA (465 nucleotides) under uncultured bacterium. Its description in RNAcentral is "partial 16S ribosomal RNA". It matches the Rfam family "Bacterial small subunit ribosomal RNA", at positions 28 to 507 of the family's 1533-position model. The record is from RNAcentral.
GACGAACGCUGGCGGCGUGCUUAACACAUGCAAGUCGUACGGUAAGGCCCUUUCGGGGGUACACGAGUGGCGAACGGGUGAGUAACACGUGAGUAACCUGCCCACAACUUUGGGAUAACGCUAGGAAACUGGUGCUAAUACUGGAUAUGUGCUCCUGCUGCAUGGUGGGGGUUGGAAAGCUCCGGCGGUUGGGGAUGGACUCGCGGCCUAUCAGCUUGUUGGUGGGGUAGUGGCCUACCAAGGCGGCGACGGGUAGCCGGCCUGAGAGGGUGACCGGCCACAUUGGGACUGAGAUACGGCCCAGACUCCUACGGGAGGCAGCAGUGGGGAAUAUUGCACAAUGGGCGCAAGCCUGAUGCAGCAACGCCGCGUGCGGGAUGACGGCCUUCGGGUUGUAAACCGCUUUCAGCAGGGACGAAGCUUUUUGCGACGGUACCUGCAGAAGAAGCACCGGCUAACUACGUG